UACAGAGGUCCCGAGCGUUGUUCGGAUUCACUGGGCGUAAAGGGUGCGUAGGCGGUUUGGUAAGUCUUGUGUGAAAUCUACAGGCUCAACUUGUAGUCUGCACGAGAAACUGCCGGGCUUGAGUGUGGGAGAGGUGAGUGGAAUUCCUGGUGUAGCGGUGAAAUGCGUAGAUAUCAGGAGGAACACCUGUGGCGAAAGCGGCUCACUGGACCAUAACUGACGCUGAUGCACGAAAGCUAGGGGAGCAAACAGG
This 253-nucleotide ribosomal RNA is filed under the name uncultured bacterium. Its description in RNAcentral is "partial 16S ribosomal RNA". It matches the Rfam family "Bacterial small subunit ribosomal RNA", at positions 524 to 776 of the family's 1533-position model. The record is from RNAcentral.